CACGAGACAGCGCAGCCAGUGUGGCGGGGGCCCUGCGUCACCGAAGGCAAUAGAGGACACGCUUAAAAGAAACAAGUGAAUUAAACUUGACUUGGGUUCACUUUCCGCAGCGGAGGCUCCUCCCUUCCGGGCCCCCUCGUCCACCUCUGCGUCACUCGGGUGGCGUGUCUAGAGCAUCAUCACGUGCCAGGUUCUCCCCACCACCCGUCACCAGCACGCGGUUCACACGGCACCUUCGUCGGCCUGGAUUUUCUCACGCCCACCAGGCCUGUCACCAGGGCACGUCAGAGAGCGGUCCCCACCUCUCAGCAUGGGGGCCAGGCAGCGGAAAGGGCACCGUGGCGUCUGGCUGUCACCGCUGGGAGAUGGGAUUCCCAGAGGCCGUGCCCGCACACAGGCCAACCAGCAGUCCGAACAGGCAAAUCCCAUAAAGUGACCCAACCGGAACGCUUGGUGGCGGUCCCAGCAUUGCUCGCCAACACCCAGCCGGCCGGCCCUGGGCGAGCCCUGGGCGAGGGAGCUGCGCCGGCGGAAAUCACUCCGUGAGCGUCAAACGUCGGUAAAAGGCUCUGGAAAAAAGAUCAAACGAAAUACAUAAAACUUCCCGAGGAAACUGGACGGAACAGUGAGUCUGCAAAGGGAGAGCAUGUUCCUGUGGUAUUUGGCGAUGAAAAGCAAAAGCUGAGAACUACAGACUUUUCUCUUUGUGAGGGAGAUGACUGCUUAUGUCUAAAAAGGCAGCUCUCAGGGCGCCUGGCUGGCUCCGUCGGUUAAACGUCCGACGUCAGUUCAGGCGGUGACCUCUUGCUUGGUGAGUUUGAGCCCCGCGUCGGGCUCAAUGCCGUCCGUGCAGAAGCCGCUUCCGAUCCUCCGUCUCUCUCUGCCCUUCCCCCCCUCUCAAAAAUUAAUAAACCUUAAAAAAUUAUAAAAAGGGGGGCGCCGGGGUGGCUCAGUCGGUUAAGCCUCGGCUUCAGCUCAGGUCAGAUCUCACGUUCGUGGGUUCGAGCCCCGCAUCAGGCUCUGUGCUGACAGCUAGCUCAGAGCCUGGAGCCUGCUUCGGAUUCUGUCUCCUCCUCUCUCUGACCCUCCCCCUCUCAUGCUCUGUCUCUCUCUGUAUCAAAAAUAAAAUAUUUAAAAAAAAUUUUUUUUUAAUUAUACAAAGGGAAUUGUAAGAACAUGUUCUUUAGGAUUUGGAAAUUCAGGUAUCCUUGACUGGACGUAACAGAUCUUCUAAUGAAUGCACUGGUCUGCGUGAUCCUGGAUUCGAAGUUCUGUUUUAUAGACAUUGUCUCUAGAGGUUUAACUUGUCGGCUGAGUGCAUGAAUUCAGCUCUGUACGUAUGCAGACUGUGUUCGGGUCCCCCAGCACCGGUCCCUGAGACCUGCGUCCUGCAGAGGGCCGGGACCAGCCGGGCUCAGUGACUGGCCUCCACGUGGUAACGAGACUUCGCUCUAGGCCCGUAAGGAGCAGGAGAAGCCAGAGAAGGGCCGGUGCGGGGCAGGCACUCCGCACGGGGGUUAAGAGACGUCCACUUCCCGACGCAGCCAGUCCACGUGGGACCGCCUGGGAACAGGUCACAUGCCCCCUCCCCCACCUUCCCUCACAACACGAGGUGCUCGCACGCCGCACCUCACCGUGCGCUCUGAGGACCUGUGGUGCAGACGGCGGGCCGUCCGGUCCCUGGAGGUGUCGUUCCCUCCAGUGGAGCCCUGAGGGCCGGCCCCUCCGUCUGCGGGGCCUGCGGGCCACCUUCUGAGGGGGACGCGCCACGGAGGACCCCCUUGUUGGCCAUGUCUAGGUGUAUCUUCAGGCCAGACAGCGAGCAGUAUUUCGGGCUCCCCUGCCCAGCUGUUGACAAUCAGACGUCCCUCCUGAGGGACAGCCCCUGAGAACCGAAGGCGGGUCCCCUCCCAAGGCUCCAGGGUAAGCCACUCUUCCACUACGUGUGUGGCCCAGUGGCCUCGGCGGCCCAGCGCCGACGUGGCCAGGACGCUUUCCGAGCUCCUGGGGGCCUUCUACGGCAUCAGCAGAAACCUCUGGCCGUCGUUCGGAUGUGAGGUGCCUCCUUCAAGAGGGGAGUUAAAGCCUGUUUAACAUCAUCUCAUGAAACAUUUACUCCAAUUAGAGUCUGACAUCCCCUUAUUCUCUGUCAUAAAAUGUUUAAUAUUCUUCUUUCUCCUCUUGACGAAAAACAGUCUAACAAGUUGUCAGACUGGCGCGCUUCCACACUUUAAUUAAGUACAUGGGAGAAAUUUGAUUAUGGAUCUAACACAAUUAUUACUCCUGUUUCUUAUACACGAUUCCUAUUUAAUUAUCUCGAAAAGACAGAUGCCCGUGUUCAAUACACAAGUCUAUACCCAUUUCCCAAAGACCACGCUUCACACACCCAGCUCCAGACAUAACAGCAUUUGAAGGACACUUCACUGAAUACAGAAUAGUAGUUAUAUCAGAUGUGUGUCCCUGGGCCAUUGACAGAUUUUAGUAACAUAUCCUACAAGAUGUGCUCUGAGUUAUUUCUUAAUGGCUCUUUUAAAAAUAAUAUUCCUUAGGGGCGCCUGGGUGGCCAAUGGGUCGAGCAUCCAACUUCAGUUCAGGUCAUGAUCUCAGGGUUCAUGGGUUUGAGCCCCGUGUCGGGCUCUGUGCUGACAGCUCAGAGCCUGGAGCUGCUUCAGAUCCUGUGUCUUCCUCCUCCUCUGCCCCUCCCCUGCUCAUGCUCUGUCUCUCAGCAAUAAAUAAAUGCUUAAAAAAUUUUUAAUGCUGUUCUUUAAAACACAUGGAAAAUAAAGUCGGUUCUUUCUAAUUUUAUUAAAGAAGGAAAGACAGCGUGAUGUGGGGGCCCGGUCCGCCGGCACUGGCUCUGCUCACUGGGUCCCAGGGCAGAUGUUCCCCAUCCCCUUGAUGAGUUAAAUGGGGAGCUCCAAGGGCUUGCCCAGAAUAACAAGGUUCAUAAAGCAGGCAAAGCGAUAAAAACAUUUUAAAGAACAUAAUAUUGUAUCGAAAAAGUUAUGCUAAAACUGACACUGAUGGGGCGCCCGGGGGGCUCAGUCAGUUGAGCAUCAGACCCUUAAUUUCGGCUCAGGGCAUGAUCCCAGGGGUCGUGGGAUGGAGCCUGCCUGGGAGUCCCUCUCCCUCUCUCUCUGCCCCUUCCCUACUUCUGCUCUCUUCUUACAAAAUAAGUAAAUGAGCUUAAAAUAAAGGAAAAGCAGCUGGCACUGAAAUGUCCUGACAAGACGAGGGGCUGCGAGUGGAGAGGCAGUGGGCACCACAAGCAGCCACUGUAUACGUGUCACCGAGGGUCCGGCUGGUUUAAAUAAGGAGUAACUUCCAGGAGUGGGUGACAUGCACGUGCACAGGCGGCGGCUCAGUGACCCCGACCGCAGGAGGGCCCAACGAGCGGGUCAGCGGGUUCGGAAUGGAAACGGAAAGGUGGCUACAGUGGCAUGGGCGCCCCGGGGGGCCCUGCCACCUACCGGACUGAGUGACGGUUCUGCAGGGGGGGCUCUGUUUCCACCCACGUACUUCUGAGAACACGCUUUCUCAGCAUUUGCAUCUGGAGGAUGGAAAACAGACACAGGCGAGGUGCUAAAUCAUGUCACAUGUCGGCAACAAGUAAAAUCCAUCAGUGGGUUAUGAUACCGUUUUUCAAAAGCCAUCCAUCACAUUAAAAGAUGUGUCUUCCACAAACUUUGCUUUGGGUCUCGUAUUCUGUGUGGAUGUCUGCCUGCCAAAGAGUGUGCCCGCGGGCCCCGUCCCACGGCCCGGAGCUGUCCCCUCCCGAGAGGCACGGCUCACCGGUGACCGUGCCCAGAGUGGCCAUCAGCAGGAAGUGAGGGGUCAUGGCUCCCGUCACUUCCAGGCCAAGGCCGUGAGGAGGGGCGGUCUCUCCCCUGCUCUCCUGUCCAUGUCCCUGGCGGGUUCUGCUAAGAUGACGCGGCCCGUGCAGGACACAGAAGCCUCUGGACAGACAGAAGCGCGAGUCCCCGAAUCGCCAGGCAGAGCGCCGCUCGCCUGAGACAGGGCAGGGGGUACAAGACAGACUUCCGUCGUUGGGGCCGCGGGAACCGGGGGUUUGCUCAAGCCGCCAUCAUCUGCGACAACACGAUAUUUAAUCAUUAUUUAUCAUACUCAUGAUACACACUGCAAGACGGAAUCAUUUAUCAUACUCAAAAUACAUGUGUUACUUUUUUAAAUGUGUGUUAAUAACGAAUUAUAUUGGUAACUCGGUCCAGAAGAGACUUCUAGCGCUUACAGCCUUCUGGUCAUGGGAAAUGAUUUAAAACUUCAAUUUUCAUUUAUAUUCAUAAUCUUCUACGCUAUGGAGAAUUUGGCUGGAGUGACAAUAAAUAUGAAAAUGUACUGUAUUAGGCGAAAACUGUGCACGGGAAGGGAACCAGCAAAAUGGAUUCAGGAGUGAAAGGGAUGAUAUGAACUAUCCUGAGGGGAAAAACAGUUGGCUUGCCUUGGGUUCCUACCAGACUUCUCUACAGCUUCCUUAAAAUUGUUCGAUACUUGAAAACCCUAUGUACUUAGUAGAUACACAAAAUGUUAUGACAGCACAAAUUCGUAAGUGGGGAUCUGUGUCUGGAGCUGGAAGUCUUCACAAUUAUCGCUACACACACAUUUAUUGAUCACCCUAGGUAUGCAUGGAUCUGCAUCAGAGGCACUGCAAAGGCGCUCAGGCACA
RNAcentral lists this long non-coding RNA (4684 nucleotides) under Suricata suricatta (meerkat). RNAcentral's name for it is "lncRNA (ENSSSUG00005006389.1)". Lineage: Eukaryota; Metazoa; Chordata; Mammalia; Carnivora; Herpestidae. The record is from RNAcentral.